RNAcentral lists this unclassified non-coding RNA (1172 nucleotides) under Hevea brasiliensis (rubber tree). Lineage: Eukaryota; Viridiplantae; Streptophyta; Magnoliopsida; Malpighiales; Euphorbiaceae. The record is from RNAcentral.
AAAAAAAAAAAUCUCUUCCUUGCGAGGGUCUUGUCUUGAAACAGCAGUUAGCUGUCCGGCGGAGCAGUAGGAAGCUGAUGUCUUUCCUUAAGGUUCCUCCGUGGAGGGUGGUUUCCUCCUUCCGCGGAAGCAUCAUCCCAAUCUUCGAAACUCCACCAAAACCGGCAUACCAGACAUUCCGUCCAUUCCUUAAUUUCCCUGCAACUUAUACCCAGUGUAGUUUCUCUCCUUCAGUUCCUCAUUCUUCUACGCCUUCUGCUAUUCCUGAUGCUAGUUACCGCUGGAGACCCAUGUGCUUGUAUUAUACACAAGGCAAAUGCACCAAGAUGGAUGAUCCUACCCACCUAGAGAGGUUUAAUCAUGAUUGCUCUAGGGACCUUUCAGUCCAUGCUGCUGCAGUUGAACGCAUGCGACCCCAAAAUUUUGAUUUUUUCUUGGUCUUUGAUUUGGAGGGGAAAGUUGAGAUCCUUGAGUUCCCUGUGCUGAUUAUAGAUGCCAAAACCAUGUCUAUUGUGGACUUCUUCCACAGGUUUGUCAGGCCCUCAGCUAUGACCGAACAAAGAAUAAAUGAAUAUAUUGAAAACAAAUAUGGCAAGUUUGGAGUUGAUCGUGUGUGGCAUGACACAGCUCUCCCAUUUAAUGAAGUUAUUCAACAAUUUGAAGCUUGGUUGACUCAUCACCAUUUGUGGGAACCAAAGCAUGGUGGAUUUCUUAAUCAAGCAGCAUUUGUAACUUGUGGAAAUUGGGAUGUGAAAACGCAGAUCCCUCGGCAAUGCCAAGUGUCAAAGAUUAAGCUUCCCUCAUACUUUAUGGAGUGGAUCAACCUGAAAGAUGUUUAUCAAAAUUUUUAUAACCCAAUAAAAGAGGCGAGAGGAAUGAGGACGAUGAUGGAGCAGCUGAAAAUACCAAUGCUGGGAAGUCAUCAUCUGGGGAUUGAUGACGCAAAGAAUAUAGCCAAAGUUUUACUAAGGAUGCUUGCAGAUGGUGCAGUGAUUCCAAUUACUGCUAGGAGAUAUCCUGAUUCCCCUGGAAAUGUUCAUUUUCUAUUUAAGAAUCGUAUACGUUAGUUCCUUUUAGCUACAUAACUAUUUUUUUUAAGGUGUUAUUUCUGUGUUAAGAAUCGCAUACGUUAGUUGUUUUUCGCUACAUAAUUACUGAUGAGGUUUGACAUA